AGGAACAACGGCAGUGGCGGGGCCAGCUCUGCAGCCCUGGAGUCAGCUCCUGCAAUAACUACAAAGCUCUCCGUGUGCAGGGCCUGGAGGCUCCGGGGCGGG
RNAcentral lists this microRNA precursor (102 nucleotides) under Canis lupus familiaris (dog). Its description in RNAcentral is "mir-8834 microRNA precursor family". It matches the Rfam family "mir-8834 microRNA precursor family". Lineage: Eukaryota; Metazoa; Chordata; Mammalia; Carnivora; Canidae. The record is from Rfam by way of RNAcentral.